UAAUACAGUGUGUCUGUCCUGGACCUUUGAAGUAAGUGGGAGUUCUGCCACCAAUUUAAACAGGAGAAGGAUUUGAGCCAAUUUGAACAGAAGUUUUCACUUAUCUUAGUGCCUAAUCUUCUUUUUAAAGGGAUGUGGGAGUAUCAGCACCUCCUACGUAAUGCUCAUCAGCGUGCAGAAGUAAACUAGUCUGGUCACUUUUGGAGGCCCCUUUAAAACCAGGAGGAUUACUCAGCCUUCCUCUUGCUGAUGACCAGGUUCCUGUUUGAUCCUGUUUACAAGCUUUCGAAGAUUGAAAAUAACCCCUACUCCUCUGCAUUGGCUAAAUCAGAGGCAGCAGUGGUGUGAACAGCCCCUUUGCAAGAGGACCAAGUGUAGUUUGUGACAGAAUUGAAUGGAGAUGAUCCCAAGCUGAAAGUCAAAACAGGAUCUUCUUUCGAGUUCACCGAGUGACCUGCAAUUUUAUUCCAGCACCUAACAGGUAAGAGAUUUCUACAGAAUCUGCAUCUGCGUUUCCCAAGGUAUUUUAAUCUCCCCAUCAUAAUUCCUGUUCUUCAGUGCC
This 562-nucleotide long non-coding RNA is filed under the name Ficedula albicollis (Collared flycatcher). Its description in RNAcentral is "lncRNA (ENSFALG00000023202.1)". Lineage: Eukaryota; Metazoa; Chordata; Aves; Passeriformes; Muscicapidae. The record is from RNAcentral.